CUGUGAUUUAUAUCUUAUACACAUGCGUGAGCGCACCAAACACCUAAAAUUGUAAUAAUACCAGUCACUAAGUUUUAACAAAACAAAACUUUCAACAACGGAUCUCUUGGUUCUCGCAUCGAUGAAGAGCGCAGCGAAAUGCGAUACCUAGUGUGAAUUGCAGCCAUCGUGAAUCAUCGAGUUCUUGAACGCACAUUGCGCCCCAUGGUAUUCCAUGGGGCAUGCCUGUCUGAGCGUCGUUUCCUUCUUGCGCAAGCAGAGUUGAGAACAGGCUAUGCCUUUUUCGAAAUGGAACGUCGUGGACGAAGUGAACUAAACUUUUAGCACGCUUUGGCCGCCGAACUUUUAACUAAGCUCGACCUCAGAUCAGGUAGGA
RNAcentral lists this ribosomal RNA (376 nucleotides) under saccharomycete sp. jbra231. Its description in RNAcentral is "eukaryotic LSU rRNA". The stretch from base 87 to 239 matches the Rfam family "5.8S ribosomal RNA". The record is from RNAcentral. Lineage: Eukaryota; Fungi; Ascomycota; Saccharomycetes.